RNAcentral lists this ribosomal RNA (466 nucleotides) under uncultured bacterium. Its description in RNAcentral is "partial 16S ribosomal RNA". It matches the Rfam family "Bacterial small subunit ribosomal RNA", at positions 28 to 507 of the family's 1533-position model. The record is from RNAcentral.
GACGAACGCUGGCGGCGUGCUUAACACAUGCAAGUCGAACGGAAAGGCCCUGCUUGCAGGGUACUCGAGUGGCGAACGGGUGAGUAACACGAGGGUGAUCUGCCCUGCACUUCGGGAUAAGCUUGGGAAACUGGGUCUAAUACCGGAUAGGAGCCAUCUUUAGUGUGGUGGUUGGAAAGUUUUUUCGGUGUAGGAUGAGCUCGCGGCCUAUCAGCUUGUUGGUGGGGUAAUGGCCUACCAAGGCGGCGACGGGUAGCCGGCCUGAGAGAGUGUACGGCCACAUUGGGACUGAGAUACGGCCCAGACUCCUACGGGAGGCAGCAGUGGGGAAUAUUGCACAAUGGGCGCAAGCCUGAUGCAGCGACGCCGCGUGGGGGAUGAAGGCCUUCGGGUUGUAAACUCCUUUCGCUAGGGACGAAGCUUUUUUGUGACGGUACCUAGAUAAGAAGCACCGGCUAACUACGUG